This 863-nucleotide ribosomal RNA is filed under the name uncultured bacterium. RNAcentral describes it as "bacterial SSU rRNA". It matches the Rfam family "Bacterial small subunit ribosomal RNA", at positions 26 to 898 of the family's 1533-position model. The record is from RNAcentral.
AGGAUGAACGCUGGCGGCGUGCUUAACACAUGCAAGUCGAACGGUGAACCAGGGGCUUGCCUCUGGGGAUCAGUGGCGAACGGGUGAGUAACACGUGAGCAACCUGCCCCGAUCUCUGGGAUAAGCGCUGGAAACGGCGUCUAAUACCGGAUAUGAGCUUCCAUCGCAUGGUGGGGGUUGGAAAGAUUUUUCGGUUCGGGAUGGGCUCGCGGCCUAUCAGCUUGUUGGUGAGGUAAUGGCUCACCAAGGCGUCGACGGGUAGCCGGCCUGAGAGGGUGACCGGCCACACUGGGACUGAGACACGGCCCAGACUCCUACGGGAGGCAGCAGUGGGGAAUAUUGCACAAUGGGCGCAAGCCUGAUGCAGCAACGCCGCGUGAGGGAUGACGGCCUUCGGGUUGUAAACCUCUUUUAGCAGGGAAGAAGCGAUAGUGACGGUACCUGCAGAAAAAGCGCCGGCUAACUACGUGCCAGCAGCCGCGGUAAUACGUAGGGCGCAAGCGUUAUCCGGAAUUAUUGGGCGUAAAGAGCUCGUAGGCGGUUUGUCGCGUCUGCUGUGAAAACCCGAGGCUCAACCUCGGGCCUGCAGUGGGUACGGGCAGACUAGAGUGCGGUAGGGGAGAUUGGAAUUCCUGGCGUAGCGGUGGAAUGCGCAGAUAUCAGGAGGAACACCGAUGGCGAAGGCAGAUCUCUGGGCCGUAACUGACGCUGAGGAGCGAAAGGGUGUGGAGCAAACAGGCUUAGAUACCCUGGUAGUCCACCCCGUAAACGUUGGGAACUAGUUGUGGGGUCCUUUCCACGGAUUCCGUGACGCAGCUAACGCAUUAAGUUCCCCGCCUGGGGAGUACGGCCGCAAGGCUAAA